RNAcentral lists this transfer RNA (72 nucleotides) under Bos taurus (domestic cattle). It matches the Rfam family "tRNA". Rfam says of the family: Transfer RNA (tRNA) molecules are approximately 80 nucleotides in length. RNAcentral also lists the same sequence under 4 other names. The record is from Rfam by way of RNAcentral. Lineage: Eukaryota; Metazoa; Chordata; Mammalia; Artiodactyla; Bovidae.
UCCCUGGUGGCUCAGUGGUAAAGAAUCUGCUUGUCAAUGCAGGAGACAUGGGUUUGAUCCCUGACCUGGGAA